Hippocampus zosterae (dwarf seahorse) is the source of this 514-nucleotide long non-coding RNA. RefSeq lists it as uncharacterized. NCBI's taxonomy places the organism in Eukaryota, Metazoa, Chordata, Actinopteri, Syngnathiformes, Syngnathidae. The transcript is spliced from 2 exons. The record is from RefSeq and is a predicted model, not a curated record.
GUGGGUAAAUGUACCCAUAAACAAAUGCUAUAUGCGAGAGAACUAAUCAUGUUUUUUCUUGUUAUUUAGUGUUUAACCAAAUUUGUUACAGCUUGGAGAAUUAAUGCCUUGGUGGGAGUUGCUGAUCGGGAGACCUGCUAAAACCGGACGAGACCAUGGACCUCAUUGGGCGCCGCGACACUGGAGGUGUCGUCUGCUGGGUCAUCUGCCUCCUUGCCGUUAGUGCCAUGGUCCAGCCCUCCUGGGGGAUGGCCGAGGGCUGAACCUGCAGGACAAGUCAAGAAGCUAGAUCUAUACAACUUGACGCCGAAUGCGACCCUAAUCAUCAGGGAUCAAACUGGACAAUAGUGGCGGAUGAAGACUUCAUCAUCGGAGACAGCGAACCUAUUGGGCACAAUACCCGUGGGUAUCCGGUGAGAGUGAUUCCUCGAAAGCUACCGCCGACCAUAACUUUGACACACUUGUCCCCCGUUUUGGAUACCUGCACACACCUUGCACAGGCAACAAUCGAAAC